CUUCGGCCUGCCGGCGAGUGGCGAACGGGUGAGUAAUGCAUCGGAACGUGCCCAUGUCGUGGGGGAUAACGUAGCGAAAGCUACGCUAAUACCGCAUACGUCCUGAGGGAGAAAGCGGGGGAUUCUUCGGAACCUCGCGCGAUUGGAGCGGCCGAUGUCGGAUUAGCUAGUAGGUGAGGUAAAGGCUCACCUAGGCGACGAUCCGUAGCGGGUCUGAGAGGAUGAUCCGCCACACUGGGACUGAGACACGGCCCAGACUCCUACGGGAGGCAGCAGUGGGGAAUUUUGGACAAUGGGCGCAAGCCUGAUCCAGCCAUGCCGCGUGAGUGAAGAAGGCCUUCGGGUUGUAAAGCUCUUUCGGCCGGGAAGAAAUCGCGCGCUCUAACAUAGCGCGUGGAUGACGGUACCGGACUAAGAAGCACCGGCUAACUACGUGCCAGCAGCCGCGGUAAUACGUAGGGUGCGAGCGUUAAUCGGAAUUACUGGGCGUAAAGCGUGCGCAGGCGGUUUUGUAAGACAGAUGUGAAAUCCCCGGGCUUAACCUGGGAACUGCGUUUGUG
RNAcentral lists this ribosomal RNA (560 nucleotides) under uncultured bacterium. Its description in RNAcentral is "bacterial SSU rRNA". It matches the Rfam family "Bacterial small subunit ribosomal RNA", at positions 78 to 631 of the family's 1533-position model. The record is from RNAcentral.